RNAcentral lists this ribosomal RNA (478 nucleotides) under uncultured bacterium. Its description in RNAcentral is "partial 16S ribosomal RNA". It matches the Rfam family "Bacterial small subunit ribosomal RNA", at positions 28 to 523 of the family's 1533-position model. The record is from RNAcentral.
GACGAACGCUGGCGGCGUGCUUAACACAUGCAAGUCGAACGGUAAGGCCCUUCGGGGUACACGAGUGGCGAACGGGUGAGUAACACGUGGGUGAUCUGCCCUGCACCUCGGGAUAAGCCUGGGAAACUGGGUCUGAUACCGGAUAGGACUCCGGACUGCAUGGUCUGGGGUGGAAAGCUUUUGCGGUGUGGGAUGGGCCCGCGGCCUAUCAGCUUGUUGGUGGGGUGAUGGCCUACCAAGGCGACGACGGGUAGCCGGCCUGUGAGGGUGACCGGCCACACUGGGACUGAGAUACGACCCAGACUCCUACGGGAGGCAGCAGUGGGGAAUAUUGCACAAUGGGCGCAGGCCUGAUGCAGCGACGCCGCGUGAGGGAUGACGGCCUUCGGGUUGUAAACCUCUUUCAGCAUCGACGAAGCGAAAGUGACGGUAGGUGCAGAAGAAGGACCGGCCAACUACGUGCCAGCCGCCGCCGUAA